RNAcentral lists this ribosomal RNA (406 nucleotides) under uncultured bacterium. RNAcentral's name for it is "partial 16S ribosomal RNA". It matches the Rfam family "Bacterial small subunit ribosomal RNA", at positions 29 to 526 of the family's 1533-position model. The record is from RNAcentral.
AUUGAACGCUGGCGGCAGGCCUAACACAUGCAAGUCGAGCGAGCGGCGGACGGGGGAGUAAUGUAUGGGGAUCUGCCCGAUAGAGGGGGAUAACUACAGGAAACGGUGGCUAUUACCGCAUACCAUCCGAGGUGCCCACAUGGGAUUAGCGAGUAGGUGGGGUAACGGCGUACCUAGGCGACGAUCCCUAGCUGGUCUGAGAGGGUGACCAGCCACAAUGGGACUGAGACACGGCCCAGACUCCUACGGGAGGCAGCAGUGGGGAAUAUUGCACAAUGGGCGCAAGCCUGAUGCAGCCAUGCCGCGUGUAUGAAGAAGGCCUUAGGGUUGUAAAGUACUUUCAGUGGGGAGGCGUUACCGACAGAAGAAGCACCGGCUAACUCCGUGCCAGCAGCCGCGGUAAUAC